GAUGAACGCUGGCGGCGUGCCUAACACAUGCAAGUCGAGCGAACGGACGAGAAGCUUGCUCCUCUGAUGUUAGCGGCGGACGGGUGAGUAACAUGUGGAUAACCUACCUAUAAGACUGGGAUAACUUCGGGAAACCGUAGCUAAUACCGGAUAAUCUUUUGAACCGCAUGGUUCAAAAGUGAAAGACGGUCUUGCUGUCACUUAUAGCUGGAUCCGCGCUGCAUUAGCUAGUUGGUAAGGUAACGGCUUACCAAGGCAACGAUGCAUAGCCGACCUGAGAGGGUGAUCGGCCACACGGGAAGGGAGACACGGUCCAGACUCCUACGGGAGGCAGCAGUAGGGAACCGGCCGCAAUGGGCGAAAGCCUGACGGAGCAACGCCGCGUGAGUGAUGAAGGUCUUCGGAUCGUAAAGCUCUGUUAUUGGGGAAGAACAUAUGUGUAAGUAACUGUGCACAGCUUGACGGUACCUGAUCAAAAAGCCACGGCUAACUACGUG
This 497-nucleotide ribosomal RNA is filed under the name uncultured bacterium. RNAcentral's name for it is "partial 16S ribosomal RNA". It matches the Rfam family "Bacterial small subunit ribosomal RNA", at positions 28 to 507 of the family's 1533-position model. The record is from RNAcentral.